AUCCCACAUAUUAACAAUGUAAAUCACGAGUCAAGAGUUUUUUAUUUUCUCACGUCCCAGUUAGAACAAUUAAAUCCUUACUUGCAGCAGCACAACAGAAUAUGUAAACAUAGUACUCUGUAAACAAUAUAAUAAAGGAGAGAU
Amblyraja radiata (thorny skate) is the source of this 144-nucleotide long non-coding RNA. RefSeq lists it as uncharacterized. Lineage: Eukaryota; Metazoa; Chordata; Chondrichthyes; Rajiformes; Rajidae. The transcript has 3 exons. The record is from RefSeq and is a predicted model, not a curated record.